AGGAUGAUGAUAUUUUCGGAAAUUCGUCGGCCUCUACUCCUCCUCAACGCGGACUCACUCAUAGACAAACGGACGCGAGCUUCGAGAACGUAGCAACCCUGAGUUCUCACACCCUCUUCUUCUUCUUCUUGUUCGGGUCUUCUGAGCAAGUUCCUCUCCGAUCUGAACGGCGCGUUUCUUCCAUCGUGGUGCUUACUUCGAGUUCGGCCCUCGUUGGCAACGUUUCGCUCACGUCCGAGGUGUGCUCCUGCUCCUCCAAGGGGAAGAAGAUCAAGUCUAGGACGAAAGGGAGGAUCCGGAGGGAGUGAAGAGGGGGUUGAAGCAGAGGGGGCUAAUUUCAUUACAUGAAGUCCAAGGCCUGAGUGUGCGGUAACAUGGGGGAAGGGGUCAAAAUUCCACGUGCCAGGGUCUAGGGAUAGGUGAAUUUAAGUGAGAAAGUCAGGUUGGCCAUUGGAACAAGUUGAAAGUGUGCAAAAAGAGCUUAUAUCAACUGAAAACAUUGGCCAACUGAACCCGAGGAGUGUCGCAAAUCUCUGCGGAGGAAACACCUGCCCCUUGAUCACUUCUUCCCCCCCCCCGCCCCCCCUCGCAAUGACGAUGGGUCGACCGACAUGAAGACGAAGCCAGCCACCAAAGGUUUGGUCUAGUUUGAGCCAGUCGACUUGAGACCGACAGUUGGAGGAGAUAGACGGAGAAUAUUAUCAUCAUUACCAUCAUCAACAUCAUCAUCAUCACGGGCAUUGGCAUCCAUGGCCAAGCUAAAAGCGUGCCACAGAUUAACCCUCCGCUCUCCCAAAGCCAGACGAGAGGUGUAGACAAGGAUAUUAGAAUGGCAGCUGCUUGCGUUGCCCUCAACUGCUCUAAGAAUCAUGUGGCCAAAGAGAUUGUUGCACGCGUGUUGUGUUUUGAAGGUCUCGUUUACAUGUUUGGUGGUCUUCGUUGUACUAUGUACGAGAAAUGCGUGAGAAUUGAAUUUGCUAAUGGUUGCCACCAAGAGCACUCUUCAAAAGUAAGGUCAGCAUGGUUCGAAACCGAGAUAAUCUCCAUUUCAGCCAUCCGGAUUGUUCGAUGAAGGCACGUGAUUGCGCCAAGAUUGGCUGGAAAAUACAUUUUCACCCUGGGAUAUUCCACAUUCCAGGUGGAUUACGUGGAAUUCGUCUCAAAGCCAUGUUGAAGCCUCUUUGAAAUCAGAGUCGGAAUAUUCAGCGUCUUUGCUCAUCCCACUUUCCGAGGUCGUCAAGGGUUGGCGAGAAAAUUGUCCGGAUGAGCUCAUAUCCUGUCGUCCACGGAUCCGUCUCCAGUAGGUCCUCUGUUCAAGUCAGGCACAAUAGGACAAGACAACAUUGUGCUUCACUUCCGAUGAGUGAAUAUGAGUCUUGAGGAGACGACCUUGAACCGCCCUACCUCGAUUUCAAUUUAGACCAAGGGGUGUCAUAAUAUUGUUGCUUCCCGUCUUUGGUACUUUUCAAAGAUGUUAACAUUUGGUCUAAAUAAUAGGCUGAACAUCUCCUUAGGGUGAAUAAUAAUCUCUUUGCAUGCUACGUUGUAUGAAAGAUAUGGCCUGUGAAGCUCCGGGUCCCGGAACAUUGACAAAGACUGACCUCAGGGCCGUGUCAGAAAGAUUUAUUCCCAAUUCACAAGGCAGCAUGAUCUUUUCCUUCAAGUGCAUUAAUCUGAUUUCAGACAUGUCAUUCGCCGGCUCGAAACGAUGACAAUCGUCUUUUGUUCCGAGGCGUCGCAAUUAAUGGCUUCUUCAACACAUCCGCAUAUUCCGGUCUAUGCACGUAUAUAUAGUAGAAGUACGUCAUAAAAUCCAACCGAUACCAGUGACGUACUCGCUCGCAGAGGGCUUAAUAACAUUAUACAAAUAGAUCUAAUGGAAUCAUUAACUUUAUGAGCAAAUUACAAAUAGAGCCACCAAUUUAGGCGCUAAAAGGAAAGAUUCCUAGAAAUUAGUUAUUUCUCUACAUACAACAAUACUUGCGUAAA
Tigriopus californicus is the source of this 1989-nucleotide long non-coding RNA. RefSeq lists it as uncharacterized. The record is from RefSeq and is a predicted model, not a curated record. The transcript is spliced from 3 exons. Lineage: Eukaryota; Metazoa; Arthropoda; Copepoda; Harpacticoida; Harpacticidae.